Molecule: ribosomal RNA, 271 nt
Filed under: uncultured bacterium
Lineage: Bacteria
Description: partial 16S ribosomal RNA
Rfam family: Bacterial small subunit ribosomal RNA
Source: RNAcentral
UUUGAUGGCGACCGGCGCACGGGUGAGUAACACGUAUCCAACCUGCCGAUGACUCGGGGAUAGCCUUUCGAAAGAAAGAUUAAUACCCGAUGGCAUAGUUCUUCCGCAUGGUGGAACUAUUAAAGAAUUUCGGUCAUCGAUGGGGAUGCGUUCCAUUAGGUUGUUGGCGGGGUAACGGCCCACCAAGCCUUCGAUGGAUAGGGGUUCUGAGAGGAAGGUCCCCCACCAUUGGAACUGAGACACGGUCCAAACUCCUACGGGAGGCAGCAUG